Molecule: ribosomal RNA, 597 nt
Filed under: Salmonella enterica subsp. enterica serovar Heidelberg
Lineage: Bacteria; Pseudomonadati; Pseudomonadota; Gammaproteobacteria; Enterobacterales; Enterobacteriaceae
Also listed under: 8 other names
Description: partial 23S ribosomal RNA
Rfam family: Bacterial large subunit ribosomal RNA
Source: RNAcentral
AGACCCGAAACCCGGUGAUCUAGCCAUGGGCAGGUUGAAGGUUGGGUAACACUAACUGGAGGACCGAACCGACUAAUGUUGAAAAAUUAGCGGAUGACCUGUGGCUGGGGGUGAAAGGCCAAUCAAACCGGGAGAUAGCUGGUUCUCCCCGAAAGCUAUUUAGGUAGCGCCUCGUGAAUUCAUCUCCGGGGGUAGAGCACUGUUUCGGCUAGGGGGCCAUCCCGGCUUACCAACCCGAUGCAAACUGCGAAUACCGGAGAAUGUUAUCACGGGAGACACACGGCGGGUGCUAACGUCCGUCGUGAAGAGGGAAACAACCCAGACCGCCAGCUAAGGUCCCAAAGUCAUGGUUAAGUGGGAAACGAUGUGGGAAGGCCCAGACAGCCAGGAUGUUGGCUUAGAAGCAGCCAUCAUUUAAAGAAAGCGUAAUAGCUCACUGGUCGAGUCGGCCUGCGCGGAAGAUGUAACGGGGCUAAACCAUGCACCGAAGCUGCGGCAGCGAACGUAUCACCCAAGACAACUUUACGGAGUUGACGAUUGACGGAGCGAAGCGACGUCAAAGCGUUCAUUAAAGUCGAGUUGGCUUAGGGAUACGUU